GACGAACGCUGGCGGCGUGCCUAAUACAUGCAAGUUGAGCGCUGAAGGUUGGUACUUGUACCAACUGGAUGAGCAGCGAACGGGUGAGUAACGCGUGGGGAAUCUGCCUUUGAGCGGGGGACAACAUUUGGAAACGAAUGCUAAUACCGCAUAAAAACUUUAAACACAAGUUUUAAGUUUGAAAGAUGCAAUUGCAUCACUCAAAGAUGAUCCCGCGUUGUAUUAGCUAGUUGGUGAGGUAAAGGCUCACCAAGGCGAUGAUACAUAGCCGACCUGAGAGGGUGAUCGGCCACAUGGGGACUGGGACACGGCCCAAACUCCUACGGGAGGCAGCAGUAGGGAAUCUUCGGCAAUGGACGAAAGUCUGACCGAGCAACGCCGCGGGAGUGAAGAAGGUUUUCGGAUCGUAAAACUCUGUUGGUAGAGAAGAACGUUGGUGAGAGUGGAAAGCUCAUCAAGUGACGGUAACUACCCAGAAAGGGACGGCUAACUACGUG
This 497-nucleotide ribosomal RNA is filed under the name uncultured bacterium. Its description in RNAcentral is "partial 16S ribosomal RNA". It matches the Rfam family "Bacterial small subunit ribosomal RNA", at positions 28 to 507 of the family's 1533-position model. The record is from RNAcentral.